This 30-nucleotide non-coding RNA is filed under the name Rattus norvegicus (Norway rat). Lineage: Eukaryota; Metazoa; Chordata; Mammalia; Rodentia; Muridae. The record is from RNAcentral.
UCAUUGAGGAGCUAGGCUCCUGCCUGAUGU